This 537-nucleotide ribosomal RNA is filed under the name Triticum aestivum (bread wheat). RNAcentral's name for it is "partial small subunit ribosomal RNA". The record is from RNAcentral. Lineage: Eukaryota; Viridiplantae; Streptophyta; Magnoliopsida; Poales; Poaceae.
AUGAACCCAGAGAACCAAAGCUUCGCUUUUUCCAGCUCCGCCUCGGCGCUCUCCAGCUCUGUCUCCAUAACCUCCGCCUCCGGAGCCCCAGGAAGCGAAGCUGUCCGCCUCCACGUCGCCGCCAAGCGGCUAAUCGUCCGACGAUGUUCAACCCACCAAACUUGGCGUCAACGGGUGGGGAGGAGCGGUGUCCUUCUUGGGACCCGAGCGGCGGUGACCUACCGUACACUACUCUUCCUCGCUGCCGGCGGCGCCCGCGGACAUGACAGCCUCGUGCUCGUGGCGGCGGGGUGCGGCCUCGAUGUUGUCCUUCUCCUCCUCGUCAGUCUCGCCGAACAGCGCCUCGCUCGCCUCACCGCACUCCUUGGACGCGGCGGCUACCUCCGCCACCCGCUAUCGGUACCGCCAGCUGGCGAGGCGGAUCUUGCGGGCGAAGCGGUAGGACUGGAGCAGCGCUUCCUACUCCACCAGGCCUGCAUUCGGCGUGACCGCCCCGCAUGCGCCGAGCUGCUCUUUCGCCUGCGGGGGCUCCUGUAG